GACUUUUGGAUAUUUGGGGCAACCCUGCUCCAGCCAUCCCGUGUGUUCGAUGAAAGUCUUUGGGUUGUAAUGCACUGUUGGCAGCGAAGAAAAGGCGCUGGUUAACACCUCGACCUGCUGACGCAAAAUCACGAAUAGCCACUCGUUUACUACCUGCAAGCAGCAGCGGUAAUACGUAGGGAGCCAGCGUUAGUCGGAAUUACUGGGUGUAAAGCAUGCGCAGGCGGUUCGGCAAGAAGGAUGUGAAAUCCCAGGGCUUAACCUUGGAACUGCAUUCUUAACUGCCGGUCUAGAGUAUGUCAGAGGGGGGUAGAAUUCCGCGUGUAGCAGUGAAAUGCGUAGAGAUGCGGAGGAAUACCGAUGGCGAAGGCAGCCCCCUGGGAUAAUACUGACGCUCAUGCACGAAAGCGUGGGGAGCAAACA
Molecule: ribosomal RNA, 423 nt
Filed under: uncultured bacterium
Lineage: Bacteria
Description: partial 16S ribosomal RNA
Rfam family: Bacterial small subunit ribosomal RNA
Source: RNAcentral